Molecule: ribosomal RNA, 421 nt
Filed under: uncultured bacterium
Lineage: Bacteria
Description: bacterial SSU rRNA
Rfam family: Bacterial small subunit ribosomal RNA
Source: RNAcentral
UAAGGAAUAUUGGUCAAUGGACGCAAGUCUGAACCAGCCAUGCCGCGUGAAGGAUGAAGGUCCUCUGGAUUGUAAACUUCUUUUAUCUGGGACGAAAACGGGAUUUUUAUCUCAAUUGACGGUACCAGAGGAAUAAGCACCGGCUAACUCCGUGCCAGCAGCCGCGGUAAUACGGAGGGUGCGAGCGUUAUCCGGAUUUACUGGGUUUAAAGGGUGCGUAGGUGGGCUUAUAAGUCAGUGGUGAAAUCUCCGAGCUUAACUUGGAAACUGCCGUUGAUACUAUAGGUCUUGAAUUAUCUGGAGGUAAGCGGAAUAUGGCAUGUAGCGGUGAAAUGCUUAGAUAUGACAUAGAACACCAAUUGCGAAGGCAGCUUACUACAUAUAAAUUGACGCUGAGGCACGAAAGCGUGGGGAUCAAACA